GAAAUGUAUGAAAGGAGAGAAAGCAUUCCCCUUUGACAAGGAUAGAAGAAGCUCUUAGGCCUGAUGACACACAUGUGCAUAGGGUUAAGGCAUUGCCACCUGCUUAAAAUAAU
Small nuclear RNA from Fukomys damarensis (Damara mole-rat), 113 nucleotides. Lineage: Eukaryota; Metazoa; Chordata; Mammalia; Rodentia; Bathyergidae. The record is from Ensembl.